Molecule: non-coding RNA, 651 nt
Organism: Cricetulus griseus (Chinese hamster)
Lineage: Eukaryota; Metazoa; Chordata; Mammalia; Rodentia; Cricetidae
Source: RefSeq, a predicted model, not a curated record
GGGGUUUAUAAAGCUGCUCGGAGGGCCAGCCCCCUGGGGGUGGGGAGGACUCAGCUCCCAGAGCAUCCUGUUUGGACAGCAAAUUCCUGAGUCAAGUCCGGCAUGCUCGAAGGCAGACAGGGACAAAGUCCUCAGGACACUUCCUCUUACAUACGCUGUAUGCAGCAAUCUUGACUGGAGGCUCUAGCCUCUGGGCCAAGCAAAGCCAAGUACGCCACAGACAGACCGAUGCCCCUGCAGAAAUGGAAACUCGGGAGCAACGCUCAUGGCUUUCUCUGCAUUGACACCUUGCUUUCCCAGCCACUCCCACCAUGAAGAGCCACCAUCACCUCCCAGUCUUCACAGAAGGAGACCUCCAAAACUGUGAGUCUAAAUAAACCUCUGGCCAAUGGCUCCAGCCCUUCCUGCUUGCCAGGGUGGUCACAAUGGGAGUCACCGCUAGACUCUGGCGGUAGUCACCAUGGGCUCCGACUAUAGUUUCCUUCUCUGUGAGGCAGGACAGUCUAAGCCAAAUCACCUGUACACUCAGCAGAAGUGGGUACUUCCCCAACAUCAGCUGCCAGAAAGCAGCAUGGCCACCACCCAGGGGCCUGUGGGAAAUGCGAUCUAUGCCCCAUCUACUGCAGUAGGCCGGGCUCUAAUGUGGUUUUA